RNAcentral lists this ribosomal RNA (534 nucleotides) under Plectosphaerella cucumerina. RNAcentral's name for it is "eukaryotic LSU rRNA". The stretch from base 149 to 302 matches the Rfam family "5.8S ribosomal RNA". Lineage: Eukaryota; Fungi; Ascomycota; Sordariomycetes; Glomerellales; Plectosphaerellaceae. The record is from RNAcentral.
GGAUCAUUACUGAGUACUACACUCUCUACCCUUUGUGAACUAUUAUACCUGUUGCUUCGGCGGCGCCCGCGAGGGUGCCCGCCGGUCUCAUCAGAAUCUCUGUUUUCGAACCCGACGAUACUUCUGAGUGUUCUUAGCGAACUGUCAAAACUUUUAACAACGGAUCUCUUGGCUCCAGCAUCGAUGAAGAACGCAGCGAAACGCGAUAUGUAAUGUGAAUUGCAGAAUUCAGUGAAUCAUCGAAUCUUUGAACGCACAUGGCGCCUUCCAGUAUCCUGGGAGGCAUGCCUGUCCGAGCGUCGUUUCAACCCUCGAGCCCCCGUGGCCCGGCGUUGGGGAUCUGCCACGGCAGGCCCCUAAAACCAGUGGCGGACCCGAAGGCCCUCUCCUUUGCGCAGUAGCAUCAGCCUCGCAUUGGGAUCCCUCGGCGUCCUGCCUCUAAACCCCCCACAAGUCCGCUCCGGCGGCACCAAGGUUGACCUCGGAUCAGGUAGGAAUACCCGCUGAACUUAAGCAUAUCAAUAAUCGGAGGAA